RNAcentral lists this ribosomal RNA (116 nucleotides) under uncultured bacterium. Its description in RNAcentral is "partial 16S ribosomal RNA". It matches the Rfam family "Bacterial small subunit ribosomal RNA", at positions 1365 to 1482 of the family's 1533-position model. The record is from RNAcentral.
AAUACGUUCCCGGGCCUUGUACACACCGCCCGUCACACCACGAAAGCUUCCUGAACCAGAAGACGGUAACCCAACCGCAAGGGGGAUCCGUCCAAGGUUCGGGCGGUGAUGGGGUG